Molecule: unclassified non-coding RNA, 248 nt
Filed under: Hyacinth virescence phytoplasma
Lineage: Bacteria; Bacillati; Mycoplasmatota; Mollicutes; Acholeplasmatales; Acholeplasmataceae
Description: 16S-23S ribosomal RNA intergenic spacer
Rfam family: tRNA (bases 106-179)
Source: RNAcentral
CUAAGGAAACAAUUAUCAUCUUCAGUUUUGAGAGACUUAAGAAAGUUUUUCAUUGUCACUUGCUUGCGAAUUGUAUUUGCAACAUUUUAAUCUUUUUAAGAUUAAGGGCCUAUAGCUCAGUUGGUUAGAGCACACGCCUGAUAAGCGUGAGGUCGGUGGUUCAAGUCCAUUUAGGCCCACCAUAACCACAAAUAGGCAAAAUCUUAAAAAAGCUCUUUGAAAAGUAGAUAAACGAAGGUUAAAAAAUC